Molecule: ribosomal RNA, 157 nt
Filed under: Akanthomyces lecanii
Lineage: Eukaryota; Fungi; Ascomycota; Sordariomycetes; Hypocreales; Cordycipitaceae
Description: 5.8 S ribosomal RNA
Rfam family: 5.8S ribosomal RNA
About the family: 5.8S ribosomal RNA (5.8S rRNA) is a component of the large subunit of the eukaryotic ribosome. It is transcribed by RNA polymerase I as part of the 45S precursor that also contains 18S and 28S rRNA.
Source: RNAcentral
AAACUUUCAACAACGGAUCUCUUGGUUCUGGCAUCGAUGAAGAACGCAGCGAAAUGCGAUAAGUAAUGUGAAUUGCAGAAUUCAGUGAAUCAUCGAAUCUUUGAACGCACAUUGACCCGCCAGCAUUAUGGCGGGCAUGCAUGUUCGAGCGUCAUUU